This 591-nucleotide ribosomal RNA is filed under the name uncultured bacterium. RNAcentral describes it as "bacterial SSU rRNA". It matches the Rfam family "Bacterial small subunit ribosomal RNA", at positions 338 to 916 of the family's 1533-position model. The record is from RNAcentral.
CCUACGGGAGGCAGCAGUGGGGAAUUUUGGACAAUGGGCGCAAGCCUGAUCCAGCAAUGCCGCGUGAGUGAAGAAGGCCUUCGGGUUGUAAAGCUCUUUUGUCAGGGAAGAAACGGUGGGGGCUAAAUAUCUCCUACUAAUGACGGUACCUGAAGAAUAAGCACCGGCUAACUACGUGCCAGCAGCCGCGGUAAUACGUAGGGUGCAAGCGUUAAUCGGAAUUACUGGGCGUAAAGCGUGCGGCAGGCGGUUUUGUAAGUCUGUCGUGAAAGCCCCGGGCUCAAACCUGGGAAUUGCGAUGGAGACUGCAAGGCUUGAAUCUGGCAGAGGGGGGUAGAAUUCCACGUGUAGCAGUGAAAUGCGUAGAGAUGUGGAGGAACACCGAUGGCGAAGGCAGCCCCCUGGGUCAAGAUUGACGCUCAUGCACGAAAAGCGUGGGGAGCAAACAGGAUUAAGAUACCCUGGUAGUCCACGCCCUAAACGAUGUCUACUAGUUGUCGGGUUUUAAUUAACUUGGUAACGCAGCUAACGCGUGAAGUAGACCGCCUGGGGAGUACGGUCGCAAGAUUAAAAACUNAAAGGAAUUGACGG